UUGCCAUUUGUUUUAUUGCUUCUCUGCAAGUUAUUUGUCUCCAAUUUUAGCAGCUGAAUUAUUUUUCUAAUCCUUCUCAAUUAACAUGCCUUCUGCAUCAUCAAGGAACUGCAGUGAAAAGGGAAGUUACAUGGGAAUGGCAUUCCAUCUUUCCUGAAGAACAAUUUUCCUGUCAAAAAUUCAAGAGGAAGAAUUGCUUGGGACUCCCUCUUCGUGUCUACUUUUACUUCAUCUAUAGAUGCGUUACCCCAAGUGGCUGUUCUCAUUCC
Molecule: long non-coding RNA, 269 nt
Filed under: Mustela putorius furo (domestic ferret)
Lineage: Eukaryota; Metazoa; Chordata; Mammalia; Carnivora; Mustelidae
Description: lncRNA (ENSMPUG00000030679.1)
Source: RNAcentral